UGAGGAAUAUUGGUCAAUGGGCGCAAGCCUGAACCAGCCAAGUCGCGUGAGGGAUGACGGUCCUAUGGAUUGUAAACCUCUUUUGUCGGGGAGCAAGGCCCGCCACGAGUGGCGGGAAGGAGAGUACCCGAAGAAAAAGCAUCGGCUAACUCCGUGCCAGCAGCCGCGGUAAUACGGAGGAUGCGAGCGUUAUCCGGAUUUAUUGGGUUUAAAGGGUGCGUAGGCGGAAGGUUAAGUCAGCGGUCAAAUGUCGGUGCUCAACACCGGCCUGCCGUUGAAACUGGUCUUCUUGAGUGAGCGAGAAGUAUGCGGAAUGCGUGGUGUAGCGGUGAAAUGCAUAGAUAUCACGCAGAACUCCGAUUGCGAAGGCAGCAUACCGGCGCUCAACUGACGCUGAGGCACGAAAGCGUGGGGAUCGAACAGG
RNAcentral lists this ribosomal RNA (424 nucleotides) under uncultured bacterium. RNAcentral's name for it is "bacterial SSU rRNA". It matches the Rfam family "Bacterial small subunit ribosomal RNA", at positions 355 to 776 of the family's 1533-position model. The record is from RNAcentral.